GACGAACGCUGGCGGCGUGCUUAACACAUGCAAGUCGAACGGAAAGGCCCUGCUUUUGUGGUGUGCUCGAGUGGCGAACGGGUGAGUAACACGUGAGUAACCUGCUCUUGACUUUGGGAUAACUUCAGGAAACUGGGGCUAAUACCGUAUAGCAGCCCCUGCACCAUGGUGGGGGUUGGAAAGUUUCGGCGGUUGGGGAUGGACUCGCGGCUUAGCAGCUUGUUGGUUGGCGAGUGGCUUACCAAGGCUUUGACGGGUAGCUGGCCUGUGUGGGUGACCGGCCACCUAGGGACUGAGAUGCGGCAGCAGUUGGUAAGGGAGGCAGAAGUGCGGAAUAUUGAACCAUGGGCGGAGGCCUGAUGAAGAAACGCCGCGUGCGGGAUAACGGCCUUCGGGUUGUAAAAAGGUUUCGCCUGUAAAGAAGCGUGAGUGACGGUAAUGGGUAAAGAAGCAACGGCUAACUACGUG
RNAcentral lists this ribosomal RNA (468 nucleotides) under uncultured bacterium. Its description in RNAcentral is "partial 16S ribosomal RNA". It matches the Rfam family "Bacterial small subunit ribosomal RNA", at positions 28 to 507 of the family's 1533-position model. The record is from RNAcentral.